Molecule: ribosomal RNA, 412 nt
Filed under: uncultured prokaryote
Description: partial 16S ribosomal RNA
Source: RNAcentral
CCCUAUGGGGCGCGGCAGACUUCUUUUUCAACACCGAAGCCAUGGCACGGUUGUAGUUGAACUCAGCAUCCAGUUCGGGGUUUCCGGUGACAAUCACGUUGAAGUUCUUCAUCUUCUCCGCAACCACUUCUUCGUGAAGGUCCGGGUUCUGCGCCCUGAAUGCGUUGAGUGUGCGCUGGUAUGACUUCUGGUAGUUGGUCUGCUGCUCUACUUCGCUGCGCCUCUUCUGCGCUUCCAACUGUUCCCACUCCCUGCGGGUAAGGGGCCGGUCGAGGUCUUCUUCCUGGACCGGGGCUUGGGCAGGGUGAUUGGGUUGUAGUUUGGGAACGAUGUUGGAGAUUAGUUCCAUGAGUUCGUUGUGCUGUCUGCGAGUUUCCAACAGCUCUUGCUCUAACUUGUCAACCCUUUGGGC